RNAcentral lists this ribosomal RNA (253 nucleotides) under uncultured bacterium. Its description in RNAcentral is "partial 16S ribosomal RNA". It matches the Rfam family "Bacterial small subunit ribosomal RNA", at positions 524 to 776 of the family's 1533-position model. The record is from RNAcentral.
UACGUAGGGUGCGAGCGUUGUCCGGAAUUAUUGGGCGUAAAGGGCUCGUAGGCGGUCUGUUGCGUCAGGAGUGAAAACUCGGGGCUUAACCCCGAGCCUGCUUCUGAUACGGGCAGACUAGAGGUAUGCAGGGGAGAACGGAAUUCCUGGUGUAGCGGUGAAAUGCGCAGAUAUCAGGAGGAACACCAGUGGCGAAGGCGGUUGCCUGGGGCUUUGCUGACGCUGAUGCGCGAAAGCGUGGGGAGCGAUCCGG